Molecule: unclassified non-coding RNA, 337 nt
Filed under: soil metagenome
Description: partial contains 5.8S ribosomal RNA, internal transcribed spacer 2, and large subunit ribosomal RNA
Rfam family: 5.8S ribosomal RNA (bases 1-120)
Source: RNAcentral
GAUGAAGAACUUAGUGAAAUGCGAUAAGUAGUGUGAAUUGCAGAAUUCAGUGAAUCAUCGAAUCUUUGAACGCACAUUGCGCCCCUUGGUAUUCCAUGGGGCAUGCCUGUUCGAGCGUCAUUUGUACCUUCAAGCUCUGCUUGGUGUUGGGUGUUUGUCUCGCCUCUGCGUGUAGACUCGCCUCAAAACAAUUGGCAGCCGGCGUAUUGAUUUCGGAGCGCAGUACAUCUCGCGCUUUGCACUCAUAACGACGACGUCCAAAAGUACAUUUUUACACUCUUGACCUCGGAUCAGGUAGGGAUACCCGCUGAACUUAAGCAUAUCAAUAAGCGGAGGA